AUUGAACGCUGGCGGCAGGCCUAACACAUGCAAGUCGAGCGGAUGAAGGGAGCUUGCUCCUGGAUUCAGCGGCGGACGGGUGAGUAAUGCCUAGGAAUCUGCCUGGUAGUGGGGGAUAACGUCCGGAAACGGGCGCUAAUACCGCAUACGUCCUGAGGGAGAAAGUGGGGGAUCUUCGGACCUCGCGCUAUCAGAUGAGCCUAGGUCGGAGUAGCUAGUUGGUGGGGUAAAGGCCUACCAAGGCGACGAUCCGUAACUGGUCUGAGAGGAUGAUCAGGCACACUGGAACUGAGACACGGUCCAGACUCCUACGGGAGGCAGCAGUGGGGAAUAUUAGACAAUGGGCGAAAGCCUGAUCCAGCCAUGCCGCGUGUGUGAAGAAGGUCUUCGGAUUGUAAAGCACUUUAAGUUGGGAGGAAGGGCAGUAAGUUAAUACCUUGCUGUUUUGACGUUACCAACAGAAUAAGCACCGGCUAACUUCGUG
Molecule: ribosomal RNA, 484 nt
Filed under: uncultured bacterium
Lineage: Bacteria
Description: partial 16S ribosomal RNA
Rfam family: Bacterial small subunit ribosomal RNA
Source: RNAcentral